GACGAACGCUGGCGGCGUGCUUAACACAUGCAAGUCGAACGGAGAGGCCCUGCUUUUGUGGGGUGCUCGAGUGGCGAACGGGUGAGUAACACGUGAGUAACCUGCCCUUGACUUUGGGAUAACUUCAGGAAACUGGGGCUAAUACCGGAUAGGAGCUCCUGCUGCAUGGUGGGGGUUGGAAAGUUUCGGCGGUUGGGGAUGGACUCGCGGCUUAUCAGCUUGUUGGUGGGGUAGUGGCUUACCAAGGCUUUGACGGGUAGCCGGCCUGGGAGGGUGACCGGCCACAUUGGGACUGAGAUACGACCCAGACUCAUACGGGAGGCAGCAGUGGGGAAUAGUGCACAAUGGGCGGAAGCCGGAUGCAGCAACGCCGCGUGGGGGAUGACGGCCUUCGGGUUGUAAACCGCUUUCGCCUGUGACGAAGCGUGAGUGACGGUAAUGGGGAAAGAAGCACCGGCUAACUACGU
This 467-nucleotide ribosomal RNA is filed under the name uncultured bacterium. Its description in RNAcentral is "partial 16S ribosomal RNA". It matches the Rfam family "Bacterial small subunit ribosomal RNA", at positions 28 to 506 of the family's 1533-position model. The record is from RNAcentral.